This 69-nucleotide transfer RNA is filed under the name Dendropsophus minutus (lesser treefrog). RNAcentral's name for it is "tRNA-Val". It matches the Rfam family "tRNA". From Rfam's summary of the family: Transfer RNA (tRNA) molecules are approximately 80 nucleotides in length. Their secondary structure includes four short double-helical elements and three loops (D, anti-codon, and T loops). Lineage: Eukaryota; Metazoa; Chordata; Amphibia; Anura; Hylidae. The record is from RNAcentral.
CAAAAUGUAGCUUAAUAAAAGCAGCCCGCUUACACCGAACCGAUAUCUGUUAAACCCAGAUCAUUUUGA